This 456-nucleotide long non-coding RNA is filed under the name Setaria viridis. RNAcentral describes it as "long non-coding RNA (SVIR_LNC001364)". The record is from RNAcentral. Lineage: Eukaryota; Viridiplantae; Streptophyta; Magnoliopsida; Poales; Poaceae.
UAUAUAAUCCAUGCUCCAAGUCUCUGUUUCGGGCAAAUGGAAUAUACACAAUGUGUUAAACUGUUUCUAUAUAUACCAUAUUUUUCUUCCAACUCUGCAUAUUUGAGGAAAAAGAUAGAUAAUAUAGUGACCUCUACAAACGAGGAAAUAAAUAUUUCUGCUAACAUAAAAAUACAGGCAAUUGCAUGGGUGAUCUUAAGCAUACCGAUGUUAAGUCACCUUCAGGCUAGCAAUUGGGCAUUAACCCCAUAACAGAUAGAGAGCACAAAGAAUAAUUGAGACAGACUUUCCCUAACCAAUUCUUUUAUAACCAGAAACUUGCGCUUAUUCAUAAUGGAUUGGAGCAUGCGAAAAUAGCCCAAAGCAAUCACCAGCCAUGCUUCUUGUGAGAAUAAGAUAUCUCCUCCUGCAGCAGCUGCUGCUACUGCUCUCCAUCUUGGCAACCAACUGUGCAAA